GGAGUUGUAGCUUAGUGGUUAGAGCAUUGAACUCAUACCUGAAAGGUUGGGGUUCAAUUCCCAAUCCCA
RNAcentral lists this transfer RNA (69 nucleotides) under Macrostomum lignano. It matches the Rfam family "tRNA". From Rfam's summary of the family: Transfer RNA (tRNA) molecules are approximately 80 nucleotides in length. Their secondary structure includes four short double-helical elements and three loops (D, anti-codon, and T loops). The record is from Rfam by way of RNAcentral. Lineage: Eukaryota; Metazoa; Platyhelminthes; Macrostomidae.